RNAcentral lists this ribosomal RNA (301 nucleotides) under uncultured bacterium. Its description in RNAcentral is "partial 16S ribosomal RNA". It matches the Rfam family "Bacterial small subunit ribosomal RNA", at positions 509 to 807 of the family's 1533-position model. The record is from RNAcentral.
CAGUCGCCGCGGGAAUACGAAGGGUGCAAGCGUUAAUCGGAAUUACUGGGCGUAAAGCGUGCGUAGGCGGUGAGUUAAGUCUGCUGUGAAAUCCCCGGGCUCAACCUGGGAAUGGCAGUGGAUACUGGCUCGCUAGAGUGUGUCAGAGGAUGGUGGAAUUCCCGGUGUAGCGGUGAAAUGCGUAGAGAUCGGGAGGAACAUCAGUGGCAAAGGCGGCCAUCUGGGACAACACUGACGCUGAGGCACGAAAGCGUGGGGAGCAAACAGGAUUAGAUACCCCAGUAGUCCCUGUCUCUUAUAC